UUCAGUAUAAACUAAGCAUAGGUCUACACCCAAAGUACUACAUUAAAUCUUGUCACAAGGCCCUAACAGAUCCUUUUCCUAGCAUUCACUACAAUUCAUUAACAGAAAACUAAAUAGGUAGAGUCCACAGUCCAUUUAUGAAUACAUAUGCAAAAUACUACUGCAUGUCACGCUUACACACACAAUUUCAGAAAGAAAACCUAAUUAACAUCUAUAGUUCAAAGUCUAAUUACAAUAUAUGAAAACAAUAAAAGAAAUAAGGGAAAUAAGCUUCAAAUGCAGCCUUCGUUUAACAGAACUUCACUCAUGUUACAUGUUCAACUAUCAUUCCUCAAUCAUAAGCUAAAGAUGGUACCGGGAAAUUGGAAAGAAAAUAGGGGUGAACAACCAGCAAAUAAACACCAGGAAUCAGCAGCAAAACAGCCAGGAAAAAAUAAACUCCAAACCCAAAAUUGAUGUAUAGUAGCUCUAAAUAACAAAUUACGACCAACCAACAACCCAGGAAAACUAUAAACUAAACUUUUGAUGACCAAGCUCAAUCCAUUUCCCAUUCAGAUGAGUUAAAAUGGUUUCGAAAGUUGAAAAUAAAUCUAAAAUCACUGAAGAAAUACCAAUAAAACAGUAAAAGUCCAGUCGUUUAUAUUUUCUUAGAUUUUAU
Molecule: long non-coding RNA, 658 nt
Filed under: Nicotiana benthamiana
Lineage: Eukaryota; Viridiplantae; Streptophyta; Magnoliopsida; Solanales; Solanaceae
Description: long non-coding RNA (NBEN_LNC032741)
Source: RNAcentral